This is a long non-coding RNA of Scatophagus argus, 850 nucleotides long. RefSeq lists it as uncharacterized. Lineage: Eukaryota; Metazoa; Chordata; Actinopteri; Scatophagidae. The transcript is spliced from 3 exons. The record is from RefSeq and is a predicted model, not a curated record.
GGAGGCCUGGACUCAAAAGAGGAGGCCAGUCAGUCCACUGAUACAACUAACAAAAAACUCAGAUGUCUGAGCAGUAAAACGGACUGAUUUCUGAAACUAUCUGAAUGUAAUUUUUGCCCCAUAAAUGGUCCAACUCAAGGUCUGCUUACUCGCUUGCUCUGUAGCUUUUGCCUAUAUCACACAAGCUUCAUCAUGUUCAAAGUUUCCAUCAUUUGGAGCAACUCUAACUUCACAUCCAGGUUGGUAUAAACGGACUAGUAGGACAAAUCCCAUCUGAUGAGGAUCAUUCAGUCCAGAACUACCCGACAAGCAACAAAAUGCCUUUGCAAAGAUCUCAAAUUAAACUUGGACAUUUUGCGAGAGGGGAGUAAAGUGGUGAUGAAGGACGGUCAGACUGACCACAGCCAGCAGGUGACCUCUGGUCGGCAGCCGUCGGUUAUGAGGAAUCUUCGCGCGAUCUCGAGUCGGGUGAGACAGCUGAGAGUCUUCUACUGUCACCUGGAAACAUGAACCACAACGACAGAUGUCUUCAUUGCCACCGAAAUCCAGUGAUGUGGUCUACGCGUGCAGACAGCUAGUUCAGCACACAUUAUUUGAUCAACUGUAAACAAAUACACAAAGCUCACAGCAACUCCCCAGCAAGCCUCUACCGUUUACACCCUCCAAAACCUCAGAAUCAUGGGAACUGUAGUCCUGAAACGUACUGCAUCGUAAGCUCCAAAGCAGAAGGAAAAGCAGCAUUUUCAGGUUUUCACCAAAUGUAACACAUCACCUUUUUUUAAUUCAAGCACUGCAGGUAAGAAUGAAAGCAUGUCGUAUUUACUGUAUGUGGUUCUGUGCAGAGGCAGGU